ACAGUAGGGAAUCUUCCGCAAUGGACGAAAGUCUGACGGAGCAACGCCGCGUGAGUGAAGAAGGUUUUCGGAUCGUAAAACUCUGUUGUCAGGGAAGAACAAGUAUGGGAGUAACUGCCCGUACCUUGACGGUACCUGGCCAGAAAGCCACGGCUAACUACGUGCCAGCAGCCGCGGUAAUACGUAGGUGGCAAGCGUUGUCCGGAAUUAUUGGGCGUAAAGCGCGCGCAGGCGGCCUUUUAAGUCUGAUGUGAAAGCCCCCGGCUCAACCGGGGAGGGUCAUUGGAAACUGGAAGGCUUGAGUGCAGAAGAGAAGAGCGGAAUUCCACGUGUAGCGGUGAAAUGCGUAGAGAUGUGGAGGAACACCAGUGGCGAAGGCGGCUCUUUGGUCUGUAACUGACGCUGAGGCGCGAAAGCGUGGGGAGCGAACAGGAUUAGAUACCCUGGUAGUCCACGCCGUAAACGAUGAGUGCUAAGUGUUGGGGGGUUUCCGCCCCUCAGUGCUGCAGCUAAC
This 514-nucleotide ribosomal RNA is filed under the name Bacillus sp. D7. RNAcentral describes it as "bacterial SSU rRNA". It matches the Rfam family "Bacterial small subunit ribosomal RNA", at positions 351 to 856 of the family's 1533-position model. The record is from RNAcentral. Lineage: Bacteria; Bacillati; Bacillota; Bacilli; Caryophanales; Bacillaceae.